Molecule: transfer RNA, 73 nt
Filed under: Urocitellus parryii (Arctic ground squirrel)
Lineage: Eukaryota; Metazoa; Chordata; Mammalia; Rodentia; Sciuridae
Also listed under: 2 other names
Description: Spermophilus parryii (Arctic ground squirrel) tRNA
Rfam family: tRNA
About the family: Transfer RNA (tRNA) molecules are approximately 80 nucleotides in length. Their secondary structure includes four short double-helical elements and three loops (D, anti-codon, and T loops). Further hydrogen bonds mediate the characteristic L-shaped molecular structure. tRNAs have two regions of fundamental functional importance: the anti-codon, which is responsible for specific mRNA codon recognition, and the 3' end, to which the tRNAs corresponding amino acid is attached (by aminoacyl-tRNA synthetases). tRNAs cope with the degeneracy of the genetic code in two manners: having more than one tRNA (with a specific anti-codon) for a particular amino acid; and 'wobble' base-pairing, i.e. permitting non-standard base-pairing at the 3rd anti-codon position.
Source: Rfam by way of RNAcentral
GGGGAUAUAGCUCAGUUGGUAGAGUGCUUGUCUCACAUGCACAAGGUCCUGGGUUCAAUCCCCAGUACCAACA